ACAUUGGUGGUUCAGUGGUAGAAUUCUUGGUUUCUACGUGGGAGACCUGGGUUCUAUUCCCAGCCAGUGAC
RNAcentral lists this transfer RNA (71 nucleotides) under Loxodonta africana (African savanna elephant). It matches the Rfam family "tRNA". Rfam says of the family: Transfer RNA (tRNA) molecules are approximately 80 nucleotides in length. Their secondary structure includes four short double-helical elements and three loops (D, anti-codon, and T loops). The record is from Rfam by way of RNAcentral. Lineage: Eukaryota; Metazoa; Chordata; Mammalia; Proboscidea; Elephantidae.